This 446-nucleotide ribosomal RNA is filed under the name uncultured bacterium. Its description in RNAcentral is "partial 16S ribosomal RNA". It matches the Rfam family "Bacterial small subunit ribosomal RNA", at positions 338 to 795 of the family's 1533-position model. The record is from RNAcentral.
CCUACGGGAGACAGCAGUCGAGAAUCAUUCACAAUGGGGGAAACCCUGAUGGUGCGACGCCGCGUGGGGGAAUGAAGGUCUUCGGAUUGUAAACCCCUGUCAUGUGGGAGCAAAUUAAAAAGAUAGUACCACAAGAGGAAGAGACGGCUAACUCUGUGCCAGCAGCCGCGGUAAUACAGAGGUCUCAAGCGUUGUUCGGAAUCACUGGGCGUAAAGCGUGCGUAGGCUGUUUCGUAAGUCGUGUGUGAAAGGCGCGGGCUCAACCCGCGGACGGCACAUGAUACUGCGAGACUAGAGUAAGGGAGGGGGAACCGGAAUGCUCGGUGUAGCAGUGAAAUGCGUAGAUAUCGAGAGGAACACUCGUGGCGAAGGCGGGUUCCUGGACAUUAACUGACGCUGAGGCACGAAGGCCAGGGGAGCGAAAGGGAUUAGAUACCCGAGUAGUC